UUUUACUUAUUCUACACUCAGAAUAUACGUUUUUUAAAAGUUCAUUAUGAUAACUUUCCUUUAAAAUCAAAAUUUUCUUUUUUAAGCUUUGCAAUCUCCGCCUUCCUUUUUUAUCUUCUUCAUAAUGUCUUGGCAUAAUAUCUUAACAUUUUUCUAUCUAGUCGGAUCUGGCAUGUUUGAAGAAGAUCCGAUGUUGAUUACACAGCCAUCGUGGCCGGCAGCUUCUCCAAGUCUAGUAACAACAUCGAAGAGCCACCACUGUCGCGUUUUGUCUACCACCACCACUACUGUCGCGUUUUCUCAACCACCGCAACAACUAUCGCGUUUUGUCAACCACUGCAACCUCCGUCACGUUUUGUCAACCACCGCCAUUAUAAUUGUAGCUCCUUCCACCGUUAGGUUUUCAUUUCUUUUUUUUUAACCAUUUUUUAUUUUUUUCGUAAUAAUUGAAUGAUUUAAAAUAUCAUUUUUUAAUUUCCUUAUAAUGGCUACAUAAUAUGGGGUCACACAUAUAAUGAAGGUAAUUUGGGCUUUGGGUAUUA
Brassica napus (rape) is the source of this 542-nucleotide long non-coding RNA. RefSeq lists it as uncharacterized. The transcript is spliced from 2 exons. The record is from RefSeq and is a predicted model, not a curated record. Lineage: Eukaryota; Viridiplantae; Streptophyta; Magnoliopsida; Brassicales; Brassicaceae.